This 253-nucleotide ribosomal RNA is filed under the name uncultured bacterium. RNAcentral describes it as "partial 16S ribosomal RNA". It matches the Rfam family "Bacterial small subunit ribosomal RNA", at positions 524 to 776 of the family's 1533-position model. The record is from RNAcentral.
UACAGAGGGGGCAAGCGUUGUUCGGAAUUACUGGGCGUAAAGGGCGCGUAGGCGGCCUUCUAAGUCGAACGUGAAAUCCCCGGGCUCAACCCGGGAACUGCGUCCGAGACUGGAAGGCUUGAAUCCGGGAGAGGGAUGCGGAAUUCCAGGUGUAGCGGUGAAAUGCGUAGAUAUCUGGAGGAACACCGGUGGCGAAGGCGGCAUCCUGGACCGGUAUUGACGCUGAGGCGCGAAAGCCAGGGGAGCAAACGGG